AAUAGAUACCCGGGUAGUCCACGCCGUAAACGAUGAGUGCUAAGUGUUAGAGGGUUUCCGCCCUUUAGUGCUGCAGCUAACGCAUUAAGCACUCCGCCUGGGGAGUACGGUCGCAAGACUGAAACUACAAAGGAAUUGACGGGGGCCCGCACAAGCGGUGGAGCAUGUGGUUUUAAUUCGAAGCAACGCGAAGAACCUUACCAGGUCUUGACAUCCUCUGACAACUCUAGAGAUAGAGCGUUCCCCUUCGGGGGACAGAGUGACAGGUGGUGCAUGGUUGUCGUCAGCUCGUGUCGUGAGAUGUUGGGUUAAGUCCCGCAACGAGCGCAACCCUUGAUCUUAGUUGCCAGCAUUUUAGUUGGGCACUCUAAGGUGACUGCCGGUGACAAACCGGAGGAAGGUGGGGAUGACGUCAAAUCAUCAUGCCCCUUAUGACCUGGGCUACACACGUGCUACAAUGGAUGGUACAAAGGGCUGCAAGCCGCGAGGUCAAGCCAAUCCCAUAAAACCNUUCUCAGUUCGGAUUGUGG
RNAcentral lists this ribosomal RNA (530 nucleotides) under uncultured bacterium. Its description in RNAcentral is "bacterial SSU rRNA". It matches the Rfam family "Bacterial small subunit ribosomal RNA", at positions 777 to 1303 of the family's 1533-position model. The record is from RNAcentral.